This 542-nucleotide ribosomal RNA is filed under the name Quadrella coronata. RNAcentral's name for it is "partial 16S ribosomal RNA". It matches the Rfam family "Bacterial large subunit ribosomal RNA", at positions 1810 to 2603 of the family's 2925-position model. Lineage: Eukaryota; Metazoa; Arthropoda; Malacostraca; Decapoda; Trapeziidae. The record is from RNAcentral.
AAAACAUGUUUGUUUGAAGGUUUAGAUAGUCUGACCUGCUCACUGACAAUUAGUUUAAGAGCCGCGGUAAUUUGACCGUGCAAAGGUAGCAUAAUCAUUAGUUCUUUAAUUGAGAACUUGUAUGAAGGGUUUGACAAGGGAAAUACUGUCUUUAUUAUAAAUGUUGAAGUUAACUUUUAAGUGAAAAGGCUUAAAUAAUUCAGAGGGACGAUAAGACCCUAUAAAGUUUUAUAUAAUUAAUAAAAUUGAAUUAAAAUUUUUUAUAUAAAUAUUAGAUUAUUUAUUAUAUUUUAUUGGGGCGAUAAAGAUAUAAGUAAUAUUAACUGUUUAUAUUUUAUACACGGAUAAGUGAAGUCAGAAGGCUAUUAAUUGAUCCUUAAGAGUUAAGAUUAAAAGACUAAAUUACUUUAGGGAUAACAGCGUAAUUUUCUUUGAGAGUUCAUAUCGAAAAGAAAGAUUGCGACCUCGAUGUUGAAUUAAAAUAUCUUUAUGGAGCAGAAUUUAUAAAAGAGGGUCUGUUCGACCUUUAAAUUUUUACAUGA